This 435-nucleotide long non-coding RNA is filed under the name Setaria viridis. Its description in RNAcentral is "long non-coding RNA (SVIR_LNC001149)". Lineage: Eukaryota; Viridiplantae; Streptophyta; Magnoliopsida; Poales; Poaceae. The record is from RNAcentral.
AGUGAUGCGCACUCGAAUUCUGUAGAUUUGCAGAGUAAGCUCCAUGUGAAUUUGUAUUGAUCCCACUAACAGGAAGGUUAAUUUUGUUCGCGCAUGACGCCAUUUACGCUUUAGGGACCCCCAAGUGAUAGAUACUAUGUCGUGUACGAAAAGAAAUUUGAGGGAAAAAAGGUGGAAAAUUGAUACAUGGACCAAGCUAAUAAUUUAACCCCUUUUAGCAAUAACCUCUUUUUUAAAAAUAAAAAAAAGGUGCAUAGUGUCAUCUUAAAUGGUCACUGGAUUUGCUUUCAUUUUAUCAGAAAAGAAGAGCAUAUUCUAUCACGGUUGGCGUUUUCCUAAUCUAGGCUAUUGUGAGUGCAACUCUUUUUCUACUUUCAGAUGCAUUAAUGCCAACCUUGCUGUAUGCAUUCAAGUAGUAUACCGCAUACUCCCCUA